This 755-nucleotide long non-coding RNA is filed under the name Macaca mulatta (Rhesus monkey). RNAcentral's name for it is "lncRNA (ENSMMUG00000063638.1)". Lineage: Eukaryota; Metazoa; Chordata; Mammalia; Primates; Cercopithecidae. The record is from RNAcentral.
GAUCUAUAAUUUGAGGAUAAUAUCUGCAUUAACUGUUUUGGAUAUGAUUAUAUGAGACAGUUUAUUUAAAAAUCUGACAGUGUACCUAGUAUAGAGUAAGGCUUCAACAAAUAUAGGUUCCCAAGUCUCUAACCCUAGAAGAUCAUUUGUUUUACAAUCAUCUAUCAAGGCGCUAAAAAGUUACAGUAUCUAUAUAUGCAAUUUCUGAAAUUUGAAUUAGAUUUUUAAUAUACUACCUAACUAAAAUGUCUUGAAACUUGAAAUAAGUGGUUAUUAUUUACAUUUCAGAUUUCUUAAAAACACAUGUGAGAUUCAAGAAAUGCCCACGUAGAAAACAAUAAACUAUUAGUGGAAAAGGAAAUUUGCAUAAAUAUCAGUCUUCUAAUAUUCUACGGGUAAUUACCAUCAUAGCUGAAUCAGUAAGGAGGAGAAAAGAAAGAAGGAAAAAUUGGAAAGAUAAAUGGGGUUUUCCAGUGAAGGUAAGACAGCAACGGUUGGAUUAAUUAAUGAUUAAUAACAAGCAAAAAUUAGUGAAAAUGGAGCAGCAUACCUAAUAUUACCUAGAUAUUUGUAUUUAAAUUUUAUUAUGCAUCAUGUUUCCUAUUUGAAAAUAAUGUUUUCAUAAUCAGCAAAACUACAAAACAAUUUAGAUGUAAGCAACAGUCUUCCUUGCCCUAAAAUUUCAUCUGGGAGUAGAUUCUAGAAUGUUUUAGGAAGACUUAAGGAUACAUUCCUAGCCAUUUUAAAAUUAAAAU